UACGUAGGGUGCGAGCGUUGUCCGGAAUUAUUGGGCGUAAAGAGCUCGUAGGCGGUGUGUCACGUCGGCCGUGAAAACCUGCAGCUUAACUGUGGGCGUGCGGUCGAUACGGGCAUCACUGGAGUUCGGCAGGGGAGACUGGAAUUCCUGGUGUAGCGGUGAAAUGCGCAGAUAUCAGGAGGAACACCGGUGGCGAAGGCAGCUCGCUGGGACGGUACUGACGCUAAGGUGCGAAAGCGUGGGGAGCGAACAGG
RNAcentral lists this ribosomal RNA (254 nucleotides) under uncultured bacterium. Its description in RNAcentral is "partial 16S ribosomal RNA". It matches the Rfam family "Bacterial small subunit ribosomal RNA", at positions 524 to 776 of the family's 1533-position model. The record is from RNAcentral.